CAGUAGCCGCGGUAAUACGGAGGGUGCGAGCGUUAAUCGGAAUUACUGGGCGUAAAGCGCGCGUAGGUGGUUCGUCAAGUUGGAUGUGAAAUCCCCGAGCUCAACCUAGGAACUGCAUCCAAAACUGGGGAGCUAGAGUAUGGUAGAGGGUGGUAGAAUUUCAUGUGUAGCGGUGAAAUGCGUAGAUAUAGGAAGGAACAUCAGUGGCGAAGGCGACCACCUGGACUGAUACUGACACUGAGGUGCGAAAGCGUGGGGAGCAAACAGGAUUAGAUACCCGAGUAGUCCCUGUCUCUUAUAC
Molecule: ribosomal RNA, 301 nt
Filed under: uncultured bacterium
Lineage: Bacteria
Description: partial 16S ribosomal RNA
Rfam family: Bacterial small subunit ribosomal RNA
Source: RNAcentral